RNAcentral lists this ribosomal RNA (253 nucleotides) under uncultured bacterium. RNAcentral's name for it is "partial 16S ribosomal RNA". It matches the Rfam family "Bacterial small subunit ribosomal RNA", at positions 524 to 776 of the family's 1533-position model. The record is from RNAcentral.
UACGUAGGCAGCAAGCGUUGUUCGGAAUUACUGGGCGUAAAGAGUGUGUAGGCGGUGCUCUAAGUCUGUUGUGAAAUCUCCCGGCUUAACUGGGAGGGUGCGGCGGAGACUGGAGUGCUAGAGUGUGGGAGAGGUAAGCGGAAUUCCUGGUGUAGCGGUGAAAUGCGCAGAUAUCAGGAGGAACACCAAUUGCGAAGGCAGCUCGCUGGGACGUUACUGACGCUGAGACGCGAAAGCGUGGGGAGCAAACAGG